Non-coding RNA from Aegilops tauschii subsp. strangulata, 3199 nucleotides. The record is from RefSeq and is a predicted model, not a curated record. Lineage: Eukaryota; Viridiplantae; Streptophyta; Magnoliopsida; Poales; Poaceae.
ACAUUUAGGUACCUUGAUUCAUGGAUGUACGAUAGGCCAGAAGCUUGAGCAGUUCAUAUUCGACAUAUCCAUUUAAUCCCUGUCCAUGACACUUUUUGAGGUGCUACACGAAGAGGAAUUUGCGCCAGUGAAGAACGCGAAUGGCACAACCUAUGACACCUGAUGCUACUCCAACUGCAUAGCGGAUGGGUAAUUUCUCACCAUUUCCUGUACCCAGAAACUUGUAGAAUUAAAUUACAAGUCAGGCCUUUCAACAUAGAACUUUUAUGAUCAUCUUUCUCAUGAUCCCUUUCCCUCAUAAGCUUCGAGGUUUCUCCUCUCAGCUCCUAUGCCGGAGAAAGCCUUGAGACGAUUUUUCACGGACGAGGAUUCCACAUUCCCGGUGAGAUUUCGCUAUAGGCGCAUCAUGUCAUGGCAGCAGCAACAUCAAAUGGGAGAUGCAAUGUUGCAAGGCCGAAACCUUGGGAUACAUUGGGUUUCGACUUACAUGUUAUAGGAUAUGCGUAGACGAUCCUACAGAGCAGAUGGGCACAUGUAUGUGUGGAGGCUCUGAAAAGAUGAACACAUGAAUACAUACAUGGAAAGAAGGGAUUUUACAAUACCUAGGACCUGGACAGGAAUGCUUGAUGAAAUGCUUCAUAAUAUUUUAGCACUGUUUUUCGGCAGUCCUUGUGGUAGGAAAGUUAUCCAUUCUUCGAAAACUCAUCUACUACUACUCACCUUGUAGAAUUUUUUAUUCUGCUGCAUAUUUGGUUUUAUCAUAAAAUGAAUGGAUUAUUCUGAAAUACAGUGUAACCCCUCCCCCCCUCUCAACGAUUAUUAUUUUAGCAUUUAUUUAUUAUUAUUCUUUUGCCUCUUGCUAUUGCUUGCUAAAGGCACAUGCAUGCACAAAUCUUUCCUCGGGGCCAUUGUUUCUUCUGCAAGCACCUAGCAGUGUAAUUUCAUGAAUCAAAGUAAGAUUCUGCUAUUUGGCCCAAAGAAUUAUCUAAUGAUACCUUUUCCCCUUUCCUUGCUAUAGCUACUGGAUGUUUAUUCUUUUUGAGACAAGAACACUUACUUUUGGCCUACUUAUACUAUCAUGUCGAUUCCUAAUUUAGGAGUGAAUAUGGGCCGUGGACUGCUUUUCUUGCGUUUGCGGUGCGUUUGUUCUUACCCUUUCCAGGUAGAGUAACAUGAAAGAUCAAUAAGUCCUGCUUAAAAGUUUUAUGCACUGUUUGAGCAGUGAUUUUGUUUUUUAUGGUGAGAAUUCCUCGGAUGUUAUUUUUCGCUCAAAUUUUGCAAGAAGCUCAAGCAUUUGAUAAUUAUUUUUGUCUCAAAAUUUCAGAUUUUUUGGAUUUUGUUUUAUCAUGUUUUUUCAGUGUUUUUCGAAAUUCGGUGUACUGCACUCGAGAGUUGUCACACCUUUCUAUAUAUCUCAUGGUUUUGUGGCUUAUGCCUUGGAAGCUUUUUGCCAAUGCACAAGUGCAAAGUCCUUUCAUUUUCCUCCUGUAUCCUCAGUUGCGUACUAUAACAUUUGACUAUGUGUCGUGUUGGUCUCAAUGGGCUGGCACAGUACUACAGACUAUGGCUAAAGGCUAUGUUUACAAACAUAAAAUAAUGAUUCAAAGAAGAGGAGCAGACGGUGCUACGAUAUUUACCUCAAGGUUACGAAUCAAUGAACCGAGGGACUUAUUAUUUGGUGAGGCCAGCGGGGUAUUCCAUUUCCUGCAUUCCCUCUUCAGUAUGCUGACUCCAAUCUCCAGAGUCCUCGAUGAUUCUUUCUUAGUCCAUUUAAAUGGGUAAUUAUUUUUACCAGUUGGUACACGUUUUUCUUUCAAUAUGCACUCUCACAAUAAUAUUUUUUUUCUGUUCUUCAAAUUGAUUUGUUGAUGGUACAAGGGAAUCAUUGAAAAAAUGUCUUCUCAUCAAGGAUUGGAUUGUGUUCUCAUUAUAGAACUUAAUUUAUUAUGUGAGGCAUUUGCCAUUGCAACAUCUUGUCUAGGGUAUAUUUUUUCCAUUAAACUGAACUGCCUCGCAAAAAAAUUGUAUGUAAUACCCUCUUCUCCAUAAAUAAAUGACAUCUGCUUGGGCAGUAGGUCAUGCUUGGCAGAAUCGCCUCCUCCCAGUCUUCAGCACUCCUGCAGGAAUUGAGCGCCAGUGUGGUCGGGACACAUAGAACACCAACAAGCGAAAAAAAACGCACCACUCCAAUAUGCAGCCAGAGUUUGGGCAAUGAUCAAAACAUGGCUUGGUUUACAUGAUGUUCAUCCCACGGACUGGGGAGGCAUGGUUUCCGUCAAGGAGUGGUGGCGCAGCAACACUUACGGGAGGUCGCAAUCUCGAAGGCCGCUUGUUUCCCUUAUUCCUAUCUCUUGGGAAAUCUGGAAUGAGCGAAAUGCUCGGGUGUUCCGCAACAAUGCGACUCCGGUCGUUGUGCUUGUGACACAUCAAAGCGGAGGCAUCAUCGGGGUGCCUUGCCGGACGAAAUAUUUGUGUAAUAUAAUGCCGCGAGAGUGAUUCUUAAAAUCUUCGUCUUAUUCAAUGAAAAUGACAAGCCUUUGGACUUGUUUCAACAUAAUAUGGACCCGAAUGGAGUGAAAUGUUUAAAAUAUGUGCAUACCAUUUCUGGAUUGAGAGAUCUAUUUACUGAUGGCUGGUUUUUAAAGAUGUCUUAUAAAGUUGUGAAAUUCUACGAGAAAAGGCUUGUGAGUGGAAUUAAUGAGGACGGUGCCUGUGAAGUUUCCUCCAUAGCUCUUUUGCAAUCAAUCAUUCGUCUGUUAUUAUGGUUGUUCCAUUGUAUGCAUGCACAUUGGAAGGCAGAAAGUAAUGUUGGCUGGUCGCCGGAGAAGUAAAAAGGCCAACAUCUUGAGCUGUAUGGAGCAUGGUUGUUUUCUUGAAGUUUCUGAUGGAUUGUAUACCAUUGACUGAGAGGAAUCGUUCAUUCAUGAGAAUGGGACAAGAGCAUUGCUAGAUGGAAUUCGGCUGAGUGUAAGUACACAUGAUAGGUGUGUUUUCAUUGAUAGAGGAAGGGUGAGAGCAUGACACUUGUACAGGAAAAAGAAAGAAAUGGAAACCAAAAUUUAAAAGUAAAGAGAAGAAUGCUAUGAUCUCAUGAUAAGAUGUCGGUCACCAGCGAGCACCCACAUGAGCAAACCUAUAAUAGGUCCUAAGACACAUAAUAUGUGAUUAAGGGGCAUAAUUGGAUUAUGAGUUUGGACCA